RNAcentral lists this ribosomal RNA (297 nucleotides) under uncultured bacterium. RNAcentral describes it as "partial 16S ribosomal RNA". It matches the Rfam family "Bacterial small subunit ribosomal RNA", at positions 789 to 1084 of the family's 1533-position model. The record is from RNAcentral.
GGUAGUCCACGCCGUAAACGAUGGAUACUAGCUGUGGGGGGUAUCGACCCCUUCCGUAGCGAAGCUAACGCGUUAAGUAUCCCACCUGUGGAGUACGGUCGCAAGACUAAAACAUAAAGGAAUUGACGGGGACCCGCACAAGCGGUGGAGCGUGUUCUUUAAUUCGAUGAUAAACGAAGAACCUUACCAGGGUUUGACAUCCUUUGAAUUUCUGCGAAAGCAGAGAGUGCUUUAUUGAACAAAGUGACAGGUGAUGCAUGGCCGUCGUCAGCUCGUGUCGUGAGAUGUUUGGUUAAG